GCUAUUUACUUUAUCGUAAUAAUCACCUUCGUAUACGUAUUUGUUGUUUCAGUUAAAAGCAAAUCUGAAGAGUGCGAAGUAACUCUCAAAUUCAUUCUGUGCCUAACAGCAGAAACGAAACGCUUAAUGAGAGAAAUGGAAUAAGAUAAAAUUUUAGUAUUAUAUUAAAGAGUUAAUAUAAUAUCUAAAAAGAGAAUUUAAUGGAAAUCAAGAAUUUGAUAUACAAGCAAUAUAUAUUCUUUAUAAUCGAUCUCUUUUUUGCAAAAAUGCAAUCAUUGCCUUCGUACAACAUUUCAUCAAUUAUUAAGAAAUAACUUUUCGCCAAAACAAAAUCGAUAUAUUAAAAUAAAAAGUAGAAUAAAAAGUAGAAUAAAAUAAAUUUUUCUAUUACAUUAUAAAAAAUGCCACAACUAUUCGUUAUUAUUAUUCGUUAUUGUCCAGAAGAUUAUAGCGAAUUUAUCCUACAACUGCUAAGUCAUGGCAGCAACUCGAAAGCACGACAAUUAUUGUAAUCGAGGGUAAGGAGGCGCUACGUAAAGCAUUAGAUGGAAAUAUUUGCAAAUACUGCACGAUUAUUGGUCCCUGCGGGUCAAAGUUUCAUGACGCAAAUGAAAUUACAAAACCAAUCAAAUCGCGAAUUACUGAGGGUUUCGAGAACCGAGAAAUCGACUUUAACAACGGUUAACGAGGGCGAGAGGGUUGCUGAGACCGUGGCAACGUUAAUAUAAUUCGCGGUGGACCACCUUCCAGACGAUGACCGGAAAGGGGAAUGCCGCGCAAAUUCCAUGUUGAAAUUAGCAUCGCUCGGAUUCCGAUCCGUGAACAUUCUAAGUUAUGGCCGAACGAGAGGACGCGAUCCCGCAUGCUUCGCCUAUGAUCUCCCGCAGUCAAUGCGCACGCAUAUUCAAAUCUAAAGUGGUGAAUAAUCACCCGAGGUUAUUGCAACGGAAUACCCCGUUACGAUCGCUUUAACCCGUUUAUAUGAUUCAUGAAUAAAUUGUAUCUAUAAUUCAAAUACAAUAGAAGCUCCACAUACA
Formica exsecta is the source of this 1037-nucleotide long non-coding RNA. RefSeq lists it as uncharacterized. The record is from RefSeq and is a predicted model, not a curated record. NCBI's taxonomy places the organism in Eukaryota, Metazoa, Arthropoda, Insecta, Hymenoptera, Formicidae. The transcript is spliced from 2 exons.